CUAAUUGGCAGGGUAAAAGCCUACCAAGGCAUAGAUCGGUAGCCGGCCUGAGAGGGCACACGGCCACACUGGCACUGAAACACGGGCCAGACUCCUACGGGAGGCAGCAGUGGGGAAUCUUGCACAAUGGGGGAAACCCUGAUGCAGCGACGCCGCGUGAGCGAUGAAGCCCUUCGGGGUGUAAAGCUCUUUCGGCAGGGAAGAUAGUGACGGUACCUGCAGAAGCAGCUGCGGCUAACUACGUGCCAGCAGCCGCGGUAAUACGUAGGCAGCGAGCGUUGUUCGGAGUUACUGGGCGUAAAGGGUGUGUAGGCGGUCGUCUAAGUUUGGUGUGAAAUCUCCCGGCUCAACUGGGAGGGUGCGCCGAAUACUGAAUGACUUCGAGUGCGGGAGAGGAAAGUGGAAUUCCUGGUGUAGCGGUGAAAUGCGUAGAUAUCAGGAGGAACACCGGUGGUGUAGACGGCUUUCUGGACCGUAACUGACGCUGAGACACGAAAGCGUGGGUAGCAAACAGGAUUAGAUACCCUGGUAGUCCACGCCCUAAACGAUGCAUAUUUGGUGUGGGCAGUUCAUUCUGUCCGUGCCGGAGCUAACGCGUUAAAUAUGCCGCCUGGGGAGUACAGUCGCAAGGCUGAAACUCAAAGGAAUUGACG
Molecule: ribosomal RNA, 653 nt
Filed under: uncultured Acidobacteriota bacterium
Lineage: Bacteria; Pseudomonadati; Acidobacteriota
Description: SSU rRNA
Rfam family: Bacterial small subunit ribosomal RNA
Source: RNAcentral